AUAUCAGUUUAGAAAGGGACAGUAACUACCAUCAAGGGUUUUUUUCAACCACAUACGUAAUAUAACAAACCCGACAGCAUCCAGUAACAUGAAACGUAACGGCCGCUUGUACUAAGGCGUUGUUUUUCGUGGAAAGUUCCACUGUGGUCCCCGUCACAGUUUGGUUGAAAUUCGACACCAAAACUAAUACCAAUUGUAGAGUUUACAAGCAAAGAAAUUGCCAUGCAAUUUUCUGAUAGAUAUUCCUUAGCAAUUGCAAUUGACAGCAAACAGAUGGCACACAAGCACCCUUAGUUGGAAUCCCCUAGCUCGGCCAUGUUUUAGUUUCUGAAUAAGAUGUGUACAAUCAAGUUGUACAAAGGGAGAGGAUAAGAAAAUGCAAUCCACUCUUUAGGACGCUCAUUCACAAAAAAUCCUUUGUAAUAGGUAUCAUUUGUAUUCAUUGAAAGAUUAUUCCAAGGACUUAAGCCUAAAGCUAACACCGACAGAAUAAUAAAAAUAUCGCAUGGAAAACAGGAUCUUUCAUUGCGGAUUUAUCUUCAAUGGUUGGGGAUGAUAAAAACGCGAGUAAAUCGGGUUCUCAUUCAAUGUUACCAGGGUGUCAAACAAUGAAACCAACAUGGUCAUCUUGGGGAUUUAACUUGAGCAUGCAAAGCUGGGAUUUUUGAAAGAGGGUGAGGCUGCAUACAAGGAGAGGCACAGAAAUGAAGUGCAAUGGGAGAACCAGCGAAUUUCUUGUAAGCUUAAUCUGUGUAGACAUUUCAGUAGAAUGGCUGGAUUGGAAAAGGCAUCCACUGGCUACCAUGUCCCCAUCUGUUCAUAAUUCCCUGGCAAAAUCAAAUCAUAUCGAUAUUGUUUUAGGCAUGGAUGUUGAGACUUCAUGUAGCUCUGUUUAUGUAGCCACAAGAGAACUUUGAUUCAAUAAAUGCGACUGAUUCUCACUUUUGGAUGAAGAUUUGAGGAUAUUUUCCAUUAACAUUCCAUACACGUGCAAAAAGAGGCAGUCGCUUCCAACCGUCGACUAUAAAUAUAUCAUAAGCCUCAGGUUCCUCCUAGAUCAUAACAUCAUAUAACGCAGAGGCUUGCCUAGGUUAAACCCAGGCUCAUCCCUCCUUCAGUGAUGGUUUAUUUCAAAUUGCUCUCAACACGGGCAGGUUGCGUCUACACGAUAAAAAUUUUUACUAGGGUUUAUUCAAUGCGGGUUGAACCCAGAUAUACUAACAAAGUAUAAACAUUGCAACAUAGAUCUCCUCUUCUAUUUCCUAGCCAUGGUCUUGGCAGCCCUGCUUACUAGCGAUGAACUUUCAAUUCCGUUCGUUCGGUAUGCAUUCAGUUAGUCAAGCUCUAGGUAUAGAGAAUACACGUGAUUUAUCCACACUGUUGGGUAUAUACAACUGAAAAUAUGUUUUUGUUAAGUUAUUAAAUUGGCUUUUCAUGACAAACGUACUAUCUUCCAAACAAGAAACAUAGAACGCUGUAGCUUGGAAUUCGAUUGCUCUUUUCUACAAAAAUGUUGUUUUUGUUUUUUUGUUUUCAUAGAACAGAAAAACAAAGAAACCAUCCAUCAAACAAACAAGUACAACAAACAGAAGAAACAAAUCGUGCAUCAAAAGGCUUUUAUGGACAUCUUUGUGGCAUAAGAAGAAGAACUGGGCCAAUCUGUUCUCUUUUCCAGGGUGUGUGCAGUGAGGAUGCAGGAAAGAAUUGCCGUGGCAUGGCUAAAUGGCCAUUACAACCAUAGUGCAGGAGAAAAAUCCAAGCUUGAUGUUGAUGAACAAUUGGCUGACGAGAUGACGUUAGGUGGCUUAAACAUUACUGGUUAAUGUUGAUGAACAAUUGUGAAUUGUAGCCAAUCAGAGUUGGCGUUAGAUGAUUUAAAAUUCAUUGUUCAUACUAGCCAAUCGCUGAGGUGACGGACUGCCUUAAACACGCAAGCAACCUCGUAAGAGCUCAUAUUGUCACUUUCUUGUAUUUUGCUACCUAGCAUCCGGAGGUAGUUUUAGGACACUGAGAAGCUAUGCUUAUCAAGCAGUGUCCUGGUCCUCCCUCUCGAUGUGACCAUACCUCGUGAUUCCCACACCUGGAAUUACAGAGAGUUGACGACUCUCCACAGCCCGAGCGACAGGGGCUCGAACCACAGAUCUUCGGAUCUUUAGUCAGCGACCUUAACCACUAAGCCAUCAUCGCACCAGAAUUGAUACUUGGUAGUUCACAACACAAACCAGCUCACCAACUUAACUAUGCACUCGGUCGAUCCACGAACCUGACCAUUAUUCAUUAAUUCAAAUAAUAUACUCCAAGAGUGAGACGUAAAUUAAUGGACCUUAUAUAUACCGAAUAAACAAGCCACCGUCAAAUCAUGGACAAAUAACACAGUCCCAAAAUUCGUCCCUGCAAUCAAAGCCAAGAAUAAGUGACGUCUAGAGACGCACUUGUACAGGAGAAACCUCCAUAGAGCAGACAGUUUCCUAAGUCCAAAAUUUGUCAAUCACAUCUACGUUACAAAUCGUGCAUGCAUUGAAUAAAAAAAACUCUCAUUCUUUUUUGUCAGCCUGGACCUGAAUAGUGAAUAGUGUCACAUGUUACCCAUGUAAUGAAGUAUGGCAAUUUCCGAACACUCGUAAAAACGAGACAAUAAAUAGACAAGAAAACCUUUGCCAAAAAGAGCAUCUUUACAUUCUCAGCGCAUGUAUCUCCAAUAUUAGGUUUUUUGUAUUUAAAACCAAAAACAGGCCAGAUUACAAUAGAUUCAAGAAACUGACGAUUUAUUCUAAAAGAACUCAUAACGACCAUAAUUCUUAAUAUGUAAUACCAAAGGUGUUUGAAAAAUACUUAGAUACAAUAUGUUAGAAACAAAUUUAAAAUAAUAGGCCUUUUGACGAUGUAGCAAACAACAAAAGCAGGGGGGAUUUCGAGACUGGGGCAGUGUUUAGCAUAGAACGUAAACAAUAUUCAUCGCCAAAAUUUGGUUAAAGUGGUGAAUAUAAAAAGGCUGGCGAUAAUU
Non-coding RNA from Rhopilema esculentum, 3004 nucleotides. The record is from RefSeq and is a predicted model, not a curated record. NCBI's taxonomy places the organism in Eukaryota, Metazoa, Cnidaria, Scyphozoa, Rhizostomeae, Rhizostomatidae.